GCCGAGAUGGUGGAAUUGGUAGACACAAGGGACUUAAAAUCCCUCGGUAUUUAAUACUGUCCGAGUUCAAGUCUCGGUCUCGGCA
Molecule: transfer RNA, 85 nt
Filed under: Fidelibacterota bacterium
Lineage: Bacteria; Pseudomonadati; Fidelibacterota
Description: tRNA-Leu
Rfam family: tRNA
About the family: Transfer RNA (tRNA) molecules are approximately 80 nucleotides in length. Their secondary structure includes four short double-helical elements and three loops (D, anti-codon, and T loops).
Source: RNAcentral